AGAAAAAAAAAUACAAGCAACUUUGUCUUUUGAACUACCUUUGACCUGAUUCUUGUUACCACAAGAUACGUAGGCAGCCUCACGGUUCGGUCACACGAAAUAAAAUGUUUUAUAAUUUCCCGAAAUCAAUAUUGGGGCAGAUUUUUUUAGAAACGCCAUGGAAAAGAAAAGAAGAAGAAAAUAAUCCCCCUUAACUCCGAGAAACUGGGGCAGAAGUUUUAGUUUUGAAAAAUAAAUCUGAUUCUAAAAGUUGUAAUUUUUAACCCUUUCAUCUUAAAUUAUUUUGAGCCUUCAUGCCACCCCUUUCUUUCCAGCCCUGUCCAAAAGCCUACAUUACGGUCCAAAGAAAGACCUUCCGACCAAUCUUUGAGGAAGUCAAGUAAAGUGUGUGGUAAAAGUAUGAUCUUGUGUCUUGGGUAAUAACUUUGUUCUCAGCACAAAGAGAGAAAAUGGUAAAAUGAGAGUCUUAUCGGUGAAAAAUCUCAUGGGCACCGUAAGGCGACAGGGAGUUGAGAAAAGAGCAAAAUGAGAGGGGCUUGAUGGUUAAAACCCUUCAGGGCACUACAAGUCGAUUGAGGAUUGUGGAUCAUAUGGGACAAUUGAAGCACUGAAGCCCAAUUUCACAGGAAAGAGGUACAAAAAGCAUUGAAUAAUAUACUUGCUUGAGAGAUUAGGCUACUUAAUCCAAGUGCAUGUCGUGGUCAUUAGUGUCAGUAUCCUCAUUUGAUAAGUUUCUACUUCGUAAUUUUCUUGUUAGGUAUCAUCUCUUUCUCUUGUCCCUUAUUUUGUUCCUCUUGUUUUAUUUGAGUCCCUUCUUGAGUCUAUUUGGUCAAGUGAGAAAUGACUUCAAAAUCUACUACCAGCUUUCCAAUUGCACAAAGUCGAGUCUGGCAAGCACAUCAAAAUGGCAUAAGAUACAGGAGAAUAGUGUGUGCAUUGAGUUGGCAAUAAUAGAUGUUCUUUGGGAUUAAUGUAAAAUGCAAAGAUUGGAUGAAUGUCAGAACACUAGUGCAAUGCAACAGGCAUAGAGUAUUGGAUUUGAAUGAAUCAGGAAUAUUUUUGUGAUAAGGGUUUUCCGAAAAAGCAGUCGGUCAAUAACAAGCACUGUCUUCCAAAUUUAAGUCCAAGUUGAUCGUGACAAGUGCAAGAUCAGCCGCCUUCAAAGUCAAGGCCACAAACUAACCACCACAUUUUAAACACACAAGUUUUCUUUGUUUGAAACAGGAACAAUGCAGAGCAACCAAGCUGGUUCAAAAACAAGAAAGAAAAGAGAAAGAAAAGAAAAAGAAAAGCGGAAUCGACGAAGGGAAGUUUCUCAAAUCUUUUUCCUUACCUGUUUGGCUAGUGUGCCUAAAUGUUGCCAUUGCUCUUCACAUUUUUCCUCCUAGGAUAAAAGUCCUAGUCUGAUGGAUUUUCCUCUCAAUCAAAAUCUUAGUCUGAUGAACUCUCUCCUAGGACAAAAAUCUUAGUUUGAUAAAUAUUUCUCCUAAGAUAGCAAAAAAAGGGGGGGGGAGGGGGGACCUAGUCUGAUGAAUUUUCUCCUAGGAUCAAAAUCUUAGUCUAAUGAACCUUUCUCCUAAGAUAGAAAACCUAGUCUGAUGAACUUUAUCUUAGGAUAAAAAUCUUAGUGUGAUGAAUUUUUCUCCUAAGAUGAAAAAAACCUAGUCUGAUGAAUUUUCUCCUAGGAUCGAAAUCUUAGUAUGAUGAAUCUUUCUCCUAAGAUAACAAAAUAGACCUAGUCUGAUGAAUUUUCUCCUAGGAUAAAAAUCUUAAUAUGAUGAAUCUUUCUCCUAAGAUAAGAGACCUAGUCUGAUGAAUUUUCUCCUAGGAUCGGAAUCUUAGUCUAAUGAAUCUUUCUUCUAAGAUAGAAGACCUAGUUUGACGAAUUUUCUCCUAGGAUCAAAAUCUUAGUCGGAUGAACCUUUCUCCUAAGAUAACAAAAAAAUAAGAAAAAGAUAAAAGAGGAAUUAGUCUGAUGAAUCUUUCUAACAAAAAGGACCUAGUCUGAUGAAUUAUCUCCUAGGAUAAAAAUCUUAGUCUGAUGAAUUUUUCUCCUUAGAUAUGAAAACCUAGUCUGAUGAACUUUCUCAUAGGAUAAAAAUCUUAGUCUGAUGAAUUUUUCUCCUAAGAUAGAAAACUUAGUCUGAUGAAUCUUUCUCCUAAAAUAUAAAAAAAAGAAAAAGAAAGAAAGAGGAAUUAGUCUGAUGAAUUUUCUCCUAGGAUCGAUAUCUUAGUCUGAUGAAUCUUUCUCCUAAGACAGAAGACCUAAUCUAUGAACUUGCUAGUCAAAUAUUCUUGGUUUUACUCACGGGUGAAGAAUAUCUUAGUCAAGUCUUUAGUUUUACUCUCUUUAUUGCAUCAGUAGCAUAAGUAUGUUUACAGUUUUGAUAACAACUCGCCGAUCUUUCUAGUGCAAACUGUGGCAGAAAAUUUUAUUUGUUUUGUUUUUGAUUGCAGGCACCCACUUGGAAAAUGAGGGAAGAUAUUUCAGAGUUCAUUUCAGAAUUAGUUCAAGUUUCAAGUCAGUAUCAGGCACCCACAUGGAGAACAAGGGAAGUCAUUUCAAAAUUCAAUUCAAGUAGAAGUAGCAGAAGCUCGCGGCAAGAAUGCGAGUCAACAAUCGUAGGUGACCAAUAGAAGUAGUCUCAAUAAAAAAAGAAAAAAGAAAGAAAAAAAAAGAAAAAAGAAAGAAAAUAAGUAAAUCAAAAUGCAAAGCCGAGACAAGAGGUGGAUUGCGGAAGACAUGACUAAAGUCACAAGCAUGGUGUGUCCGGUUUUGAUCCAAGAAGCUGAAGAAGAAUGAACUAGCACCUAGUGAGCAUCAAUGUUCAGAUCUGAAGUCUGCAUGAAGAACCAUUCAAGACUCAAGAUCAAGCUUCAGAAGACUUAUAGAUAGGAAUCUUGUAACUCAUAGUUGACAGUCUUAGUUAGUCGUUUUCAUAGUUUUGAUUUUUGAUGUAAUAACAGGACCACGGACCGGAACCUCGAUGGCACCUCGAUCGGCUCUCCACCUCAGUACACUCCUUUAGUUAGUCACUUUCUUAGUUUUGAUUUUGAUGUGAUAACAGGACCACGGACCGUAACCUCGACAGCACCUCGAUCAGCUCUCCACCUCGGUAUACUCCAUCAUCUAUUCACUUCUGAACUACACGUGGUCUGAUUCCUUUAUAGCCAAGGAUAUGUAGGCAGCUCAGAUGCCAGGGCUCGGCCACAUUCUCCUUUCUUUUAGCUUUUGGUCUUUUUAAAUAAGGGUCGGGUCAAAAAACCUGUCUAGUCGUUCUUUGUCUAAAAAUACUUUGUAUUUUCAAUCAAAGAGGGGCAGCUGUAGACAUGUGAUUUUUGACACUCCCCAAGAUUUUUCAUAUUUUAGUAUUUAAAUAUUUAAUUUAUGUCUAAUAUAGUUAUUUCAAUAAAUUUUGGCUCUUUUACAUUACUUUAAGAACAAAAAUCAAAAAUUACAAAAAUAGUUCCAUAUUUUUCUAGUUAAUUCACGUAUUAGAUAUUUUUAGGAGGAUAUAUUACUUUAACCCUAUUUUUAUUCUAAUAUAAUCCUUGAAAAUACCAAAAAUAGUUCCAACUUUAAUUUUUAGUUUUAUUUUUAAUAAAAAUAACUUAUUAAAAUUAAUGUAGAGUUUGUAUAGGUAUUAAAUUUGAAUUUUCAGUCCUUUUUGGCCCAAUUUUAUAAAUUUCGGAGUCCAAUUCAAAUAUGAGCCCAAAAUUAAACAAACCAACCCAGUACCCUAUGUAACCCAUCAGAUUUUCCUUCUUUGGGGAAUUUAAAAACGAAGAUCUAGAAAAACCCUAAAAGAGAAGGGUCUUCUUCUUACACAAGAUAAAACAAAAACAAAAAAUCCUAGGACCCUAAAAACAAGAGACAACCGCUACAAACGACUACCUACCUUCAGCCGUAGAACACAAACCCAUUUAUCUCCAUCGCUAGACGGAACCAAAUCUGACCGGAAUCAUGUAAUUCUGAUGACUCUCCAGUGAAUCCGGAGAAGCAGGUGUUCGAACCAGCAACUCUCGUCCUCUAUUCAUCUUUUAAGAAUAGCAGCAAACCCCAAAACUCUUGUCGUCUUUUCAAAUCUUGGGUUGUCAUUACUCAGUCUUUAAUUUUGGGGUUAGAUUUUGAAAUUUUGUCUAGUUUCAGGGGUUCUUGUUCUCGGUUAUCGGUUCUAGUUCGAUGAGGGCCUGUGCUGAGGCUCUCAGAUAUGAUUGAGGUCCGUUCGAGAUGGUCUGUUGGUUUUGGUCGGGGUUAAAUCAAGUCCGAGUUUGUUUUUUUGAGUUCGUCGAGGUCUGGUCAAGGUUCAGCCGUGUUUUGCUAUUGUUCGACGAGCUGUCCGCCUGUAAUUACGAAAGGUUCUGUUCAAGUUUUCUCCUAUGCAUUUUCUGUUUGGCCGAUUGUAUUUCCGACUUAAGCCUAUAUUGUCAAUCAAAGUUUUUUGAGAUGACUAAGGUGCCGAUUCGAGUUUCCAUUCGCGGUACGUUACAUUUUUGAGAUCAAAAUAGUGAAGCAAUCAAUUUUCCGGCUACAUUGGUCUAAUUCUCUCAUCCUUUAUCCAUUUUAUUCAAAGCUUCAUGUUAAAUGUUUGUUUGGUGAUAUGAUUAUGUUAUUAUGUGAUUAUUCUCCGUAGUUUCAAAUUUACUUAUUGGUUAUUGUUGAACAUGAUUUUAUCACAUUGUAGAAAUCGGGUUGUUGGGUAAAUGUAAAAGAGAUUUAGGUGUAGGAUAAAUUAUAUUGGCCUUUAUUCUUGUUUAUUUACUUUAUUUUCAGUACACCAUUCGCUAGGAGAAUGAUUAGGCCGAUCGCGAGAGGUUGUUUACCAUAGUUAAAUUUAUCCGGGGAAUGCCCCAAAGAAUUUGUAUAUAUUAUUAUCCGGGGUAUGCCCUGAAGCAUCAUGUAUUUGGAGGCCGUGAUGAACACUGUGGAGGAAGUACAAUUUAGGCUAGCUUUUUUUAAUUUAUUUAUUAGGUGGGUCCUCGAGCUCUUGUGUUUUUUUUGUGCUUUUUCUUUUCUAUGUUUAGUUAUACCUCAAUCGAAUAUUUUAAUAGCCAACUAGAUUGAGUACGCAACUGUGACUUUCACGGGACUUGGGGAGUUCCUAACACCUUCUCCCCGAGUCAAAUGAACCCCCUCACCCGAAUCUCUGGUGUAUACUUAGUUUUAGAGUCUCAAGUGUUUUGAAAGGAAAAUUACUAUUUUUGGAAAAUCGGUGACCUGACACACCGAAGUUAAAUAUCAGGUGGCGACUCUGAGUUAAUCCUUUUGUACACCAUUUUCGUCACUUUCAAUUGAAAACACUUUUCAAGCUUUUAUUAAAUCCUUUUAGUUAUUUAAAUGAGUUUAGUGAGCUUUUUUAAAAAAAAAAGGGUGUGACAAAUUUAAGAUCAUGAUUCAACAUUCUGUUUCUCAUUGCAUUUUCUUAUUUGGACUUCACAUUGAGAUUCAAGUAUAUUUUUCUGGAAAUGGGGCAAAAGAGGUAAAGAAGCAGUAGUUACAACAGAACAGAAACAAACAAGCAACCAAUGUGAAAUAGGCAAUAACAGUGAUUCCCAGCACCUAACUUGAAACCAGUUCUGCUAUUUAAACCAUUUCUCUAUUUCAGCAAUUACACUAUCAAUUUUCAAGAAUUCUUUGCCACAAAGAAUCAGAAAAUACCAAACCAGAAGCAAAAUUUUUAUUUUAAUAAUGUAGAAACUCAUAAUUUUUAUAAGAAAGCUCAGCCGUUUUAGUUUUGGGAUCUAUCUCUCUUCAAAAUCUGCCUUCAACCUCAAGUAACAAUGUCUUUAUAGGCAAGCUAUUAGUGUAGCCUAAAAUAAAUUAAAAUUAUAUUUGAACCCUUUUUCAACUUUUGUUUUAGCUCCCAUACCCCUAAUACAAAUUUCAAAAUUUCAAAACAGUCCCAAACCCCCUUUCUUGAAAGCUUUCUAAGGUUGUUACAAAAGAUUCCCCUAUCUAUACCUUAGCAGCCCUGUUUUUUACUGCAGGAAACCAAAUGGGUAUGGGUCACCUUGACCCAAGGUUUCAAUUCAACAAACUGGGCUAAUCUCCUCCCUUUGGACCGAGUUCCAAUUCAGAAACCCAAUAAAAAAGAAUUGAAAGCAAAACAAAUAAUAGUAAAAGAAAAAUAUUUGGGCGCAAAUGAAUUGUAAGCCCGAAGUAACACAUGCUGCAACAUUUCAACAAUUAAUAAAUUAGGCUAAAUGACUUACUAGCUAGAAUUUAACCAAACUGACCAAAAACAGUUUCAGUUUUAACCAAGCAUGACCAAAUGAAUAAUAAAAUAAAAAAGAUCGGNNNNNNNNNNNNNNNNNNNNNNNNNNNNNNNNNNNNNNNNNNNNNNNNNNNNNNNNNNNNNNNNNNNNNNNNNNNNNNNNNNNNNNNNNNNNNNNNNNNNNNAAAAAAAAAAAAAAAAAAAAAAAAAAAAAAAAAAAAAAAGAAGCAGAGAAAUGGAAGAAGAAAAAUGAAAAAACGAAUAAAUAGAAGAAAAAGAAGAAAAUACCUACUAAAAGCUCGGAUAAUGACAAGUAGAGCUUGAGUCUUCAAAUCCUCCGAUUUUCCGGCCAAAUUUGAUAUUAUUAGAGCACAUGAAUAAAAUCAGAUUAAACCCGAAAUUUCAACAAAAUCUUAACUUGAAAUUUUUAGGGUUCUGUGAUUUAAUACUCGGGGAGUCUCGGCCAUGUUCGAGGGAAAUGGAGCGGGGAUUUGGAAAGAUAGGAGUGAGGGGGUCAUUGGAUGUUAGUUUGGGGAUGGUUGGAGGUGGCGCCGCCACCGGAUGGUGGUGGGAUUUUGGGGAGGCUACUAGGAUUUGGGGGUUGGUCUUAAGAGAGAGGGGUGUGAGAGAGAUGAG
Molecule: long non-coding RNA, 6851 nt
Filed under: Nicotiana benthamiana
Lineage: Eukaryota; Viridiplantae; Streptophyta; Magnoliopsida; Solanales; Solanaceae
Description: long non-coding RNA (NBEN_LNC041983)
Source: RNAcentral